GGGUGAUCUGGCUGAGACAUCUGUCACCCACUGAUGGCCAGGAAUUAUUUGGCCUGUUAGGCUGUCCCCUUGCUCCC
Neogale vison (American mink) is the source of this 77-nucleotide unclassified non-coding RNA. Its record names the gene 7SK. It matches the Rfam family "7SK RNA". Rfam says of the family: 7SK was discovered as an abundant small nuclear RNA in the mid-70s but a possible function has only recently been suggested. Two independent studies have found that 7SK RNA binds the CDK9/cyclin T complex (known as elongation factor P-TEFb). P-TEFb activates transcription by phosphorylating the C-terminal domain of RNA polymerase II. The record is from Ensembl. NCBI's taxonomy places the organism in Eukaryota, Metazoa, Chordata, Mammalia, Carnivora, Mustelidae.